RNAcentral lists this ribosomal RNA (566 nucleotides) under Microbacterium sp. RNAcentral describes it as "bacterial SSU rRNA". It matches the Rfam family "Bacterial small subunit ribosomal RNA", at positions 228 to 806 of the family's 1533-position model. Lineage: Bacteria; Bacillati; Actinomycetota; Actinomycetes; Micrococcales; Microbacteriaceae. The record is from RNAcentral.
GGCUCGCGGCCUAUCAGCUUGUUGGUGAGGUAAUGGCUCACCAAGGCGUCGACGGGUAGCCGGCCUGAGAGGGUGACCGGCCACACUGGGACUGAGACACGGCCCAGACUCCUACGGGAGGCAGCAGUGGGGAAUAUUGCACAAUGGGCGGAAGCCUGAUGCAGCAACGCCGCGUGAGGGAUGACGGCCUUCGGGUUGUAAACCUCUUUUAGCAGGGAAGAAGCGAAAGUGACGGUACCUGCAGAAAAAGCGCCGGCUAACUACGUGCCAGCAGCCGCGGUAAUACGUAGGGCGCAAGCGUUAUCCGGAAUUAUUGGGCGUAAAGAGCUCGUAGGCGGUUUGUCGCGUCUGCUGUGAAAUCCCGAGGCUCAACCUCGGGCCUGCAGUGGGUACGGGCAGACUAGAGUGCGGUAGGGGAGAUUGGAAUUCCUGGUGUAGCGGUGGAAUGCGCAGAUAUCAGGAGGAACACCGAUGGCGAAGGCAGAUCUCUGGGCCGUAACUGACGCUGAGGAGCGAAAGGGUGGGGAGCAAACAGGCUUAGAUACCCUGGUAGUCCACCCCGUAAA